RNAcentral lists this ribosomal RNA (444 nucleotides) under uncultured bacterium. RNAcentral's name for it is "SSU rRNA". It matches the Rfam family "Bacterial small subunit ribosomal RNA", at positions 26 to 518 of the family's 1533-position model. The record is from RNAcentral.
AGAACGAACGCUGGCGGCAGGCCUAACACAUGCAAGUCGAACGGGGUAGCAAUACUCUAGUGGCAGACGGGUGAGUAACACGUGGGAACCUUCCUUUAGUAUGGAAUAGCCCGGCGAAAGCCGGAUUAAUACCGUAUACGCCCUAUGGGGGAAAGAUUUAUCGCUAAAAGAUGGGCCCGCGUAAGAUUAGCUAGUUGGUGAGGUAACGGCUCACCAAGGCUACGAUCUUUAGCUGGUUUGAGAGAAUGAUCAGCCACACUGGAACUGAGACACGGUCCAGACUCCUACGGGAGGCAGCAGUGGGGAAUAUUGGACAAUGGGCGCAAGCCUGAUCCAGCCAUGCCGCGUGAAUGAUGAAGGCCUUCGGGUUGUAAAGUUCUUUAGUGGAGAAAUAAUGAUGGUAUCCACAGAAAAGCCCCGGACUAACUUCGUGCCAGCAGCCGC